This 264-nucleotide ribosomal RNA is filed under the name uncultured bacterium. RNAcentral describes it as "partial 16S ribosomal RNA". It matches the Rfam family "Bacterial small subunit ribosomal RNA", at positions 15 to 275 of the family's 1533-position model. The record is from RNAcentral.
GAUCCUGGCUCGGAAUAAACGCUGGCGGCGUGUCUUAAGCAUGCAAGUCGGACGGCAAGCCGCCUUCGGGCGGCCUAGAGUGGCGGACUGGUGAGUAACACGUGGGUGAUAUACCUUUUGGACGGGGAUAGCCCCUAGAAAUAGGGGGUAAUACCGGAUAAGGCCGUGCGGGUUGGAGCCGCACGGGGAAAGGCGCUAUGGCGCCGCCGAAAGAAUAGCCUGCGACCUAUCAGCUUGUUGGUGAGGUAAAGGCCCACCAAGGCG